RNAcentral lists this ribosomal RNA (590 nucleotides) under uncultured bacterium. RNAcentral describes it as "bacterial SSU rRNA". It matches the Rfam family "Bacterial small subunit ribosomal RNA", at positions 338 to 946 of the family's 1533-position model. The record is from RNAcentral.
CCUACGGGAGGCAGCAGUGGGGAAUAUUGGACAAUGGGCGCAAGCCUGAUCCAGCAAUGCCGCGUGAGUGAUGAAGGCCUUAGGGUCGUAAAGCUCUUUUACCAGGGAUGAUAAUGACAGUACCUGGAGAAUAAGCUCCGGCUAACUCCGUGCCAGCAGCCGCGGUAAUACGGAGGGAGCUAGCGUUGUUCGGAAUUACUGGGCGUAAAGCGUACGUAGGCGGUUAUUCAAGUCAGAGGUGAAAGCCCGGGGCUCAACCCCGGAACGGCCUUUGAAACUAGGUAGCUAGAAUCUUGGAGAGGUCAGUGGAAUUCCGAGUGUAGAGGUGAAAUUCGUAGAUAUUCGGAAGAACACCAGUGGCGAAGGCGACUGACUGGACAAGUAUUGACGCUGAGGUACGAAAGCGUGGGGAGCAAACAGGAUUAGAUACCCUGGUAGUCCACGCCGUAAACGAUGAUAACUAGCUGUUCGGGCACUUGGUGCUUGAGUGGCGCAGCUAACGCAUUAAGUUAUCCGCCUGGGGAUACGGUCGCAAGNUUAAAACUCAAAGAUAAUAGACGUGAGAGUGCGACGAGACACAGGAGGUAGAG